GACGAACGCUGGCGGCGCGCUUAACACAUGCAAGUCGAGCGAAGCGGCGGACGGGUGAGUAACACGUGAGUAACCUGCCUUAGACAUUGGGAUAGCCUCGGGAAACCGGGAUUAAUACCAAAUGGUCUAAGAUGGACUCGCGUCCCAUUAGCUAGUUGGUGGGUAAAGGCCCACCAAGGCGACGCUGGGUAGCCGGCAAGAGAGAGUGAACGGCGAGAUUGGAACUGAGACACGGUCCGAACUCUACGGGAUGCAGCAGUGGCGAAGAUGGCACAUUGGAGGGAACGCUGAUGCUGCGACGACGCGUGAACGAAGAAGGCUUUCGAGUCGUAAAGUUCUUUUAUCUGGGAAGCGGUACCAUAAGAAAAAGCCCCGGCUAACUACGUGCCAGCAGCCGCGGUAAUAC
Molecule: ribosomal RNA, 406 nt
Filed under: uncultured bacterium
Lineage: Bacteria
Description: partial 16S ribosomal RNA
Rfam family: Bacterial small subunit ribosomal RNA
Source: RNAcentral